Long non-coding RNA from Lathyrus oleraceus (garden pea), 376 nucleotides. RefSeq lists it as uncharacterized. The transcript has 4 exons. NCBI's taxonomy places the organism in Eukaryota, Viridiplantae, Streptophyta, Magnoliopsida, Fabales, Fabaceae. The record is from RefSeq and is a predicted model, not a curated record.
GGAUCUUAGUCUGUCUUUGGCAGAGUACUCCUUGUUUGGCUCCAUCUUGACUUUUGGUGCGAUGAUUGGCGCAAUAACAAGUGGUCCUAUUGCUGAUUUAGUUGGACGAAAGGGGGCAAUGAGAGUAUCAAGUGCUUUCUGUAUUGCAGGAUGGCUUGUUAUUUAUUUUUCAAAGGUUCUUACUACAGAACCUAUGAGAUUUUCUUGGUCAUAACUGUUCUCCAAGGAUUAUCUGAGUUUUCCUCUUUUUCUCUUAUAUAUAUUUAGGGUCCAGUUUCUUUGGAUAUUGGGAGACUAGCAACAGGAUAUGGAAUGGGAGUUUUUUCUUAUGUGGUUCCUGUCUUCAUAGCAGAAAUUGCGCCAAAAGAACGCCGAG